UCUUCAAGUCUGUUUUUACACUCCUCCGUAGCUCCUCAUGUGUUUCUUCCACCCUCCCCUUCUCCUCACACUCCUCUGUCUCUCUCUCUCACACAUUCUCUCUCCCUCUCCAGCACUCCCUCUCACUUCUCUCCUCAGAAAUACUGUCUGUGGAGCACCUCUUCUGUUUGCAGCAGUGAAUAAGGCACCAUGCCGGGACUGAGGGACCAGACGGCACUUUCAGUUCUCUGUCUGUCCCUGCUGGUUCGCUUCUGGACUGUAAACGGACUGACAGACCACAGCAGCUCAGAGAUCAGCCACACAGCCUCAGAGCAACAUGUGGAGAACAGAAGCGCAACAACUGGAGCAGAUCUUCUGCAAGUGAAGAUAAUCCCACUCUAUGCAAAGAUUCAUGUUGGACAACACAAACGAUUGUUAUGCAAAGUUGAUGGGGGUGCAGAGGAGAUCGCCUGGUUUUCUCCUAAUGGUGAGAAGAUUCUAACAAAACGUGACAAUCUCGAGGUGCGCAGUCAUGGCAAUUCCUUGUCCUCUCUCAUUGUUCUCAAUGCCAAUUUAAACAAUGCUGGGAUAUACAAAUGUGUGGCCAGAAAUUGGGACACAGAAUCACAAGCUACGGCCAAGCUGUACAUCCUUUCAAAGAGAAUGCGUCGAGAAACUGAGAGGGAAGGAAGAGGAAAACGACAGAAAGAGCCCAAGGCCACCAAGAAGCCCAAAGCUCCCAAGCCCACCAAGAAACCCAAGGGUGAGAAGAAGAAGAACAAAGGAGAGAAGGGUGGGAAGAAGAAAGGCAAGAAGAACAGGGAGGAGACCACCACGAUCACCACCACCACCACCACUGUGGCUCCCACAACCACUGUGCCCAUUGAGUAUGAAGAGGAGUUUUAUGGCCCUGAAACGGACCAGUACUGGGAUGAAGAAUUUCCUGCAGAGACAACAACAGCGGCAAAGCCUACAAACCCCCCGAUUGAGAAAACCACAGAAUUUCCAACAGACUUUCCUCCUGACACAGACGAGUAUUCCCCACCUUACCCUGACUCAUACGAUGACUAUUGGAAGGUGGAUGAACCCACACCUACAACCUCAGUGAUCGCUGGCCGUCCACCUGAUGAUGAUGUUGAUUACUGGGAUGCCAGAUAUGAGGUGGCAGAAAACAUGCCUUUCCCUGAUGGCAAAGAGAUCAGCUCUACUGACAAUGACUGGCAUUACACUACCACAGAGGAGCCCACCGUCCCUCCAUUUGAAAACAGCUGGUAUGAAGAAUAUGAAUAUGGACAUGAAAAGAAACUGGAAGAGGAGACGGAAAGAGAGAGAGAAAGAGAAAGAAAAGAGCAAGAGGCAAAAGAAAGAGAAGAGAGGAGGCAUGAGGAAGAGGAGGAGAGAGAACCCAGGAUUUACAGACCUCCGCCACGCGUGUACAGAGAGCCUAAAAUUUGUCCUCCUCUGGGUAUGGAGUCUCACCGCAUAGAGAAUGACCAGCUGCUGACUUCCUCUGUUUAUCAACAUCGCUAUGGCUCACACAGAGCUCGUCUCAAUAUUCAGGCGUCUGGGGAUGAAGAUGAUAUGAAUGGUGGGUCAUGGUGUGCUAACUCUGAAGAGAAAGUCCACUGGAUUGAACUGGACGCUCGCACACUAACAGAGUUCACUGGCGUUAUCACUCAGGGUCGAGAUGACCCCUUAGAGAGCGAUUAUGUGUCUUCUUACUAUGUGGCGUUUAGUAAUGACAGCAGAGAGUGGACUGUCCUUCAUGAUGGAUAUGCUGAAUGGUUAUUCUUUGGUAACUCCGAUAAAAACACACCAGUGUUGUCUCAGUUUAUGGAGCCGGUAGUGGCACGUUAUAUACGCAUCUUGCCACAGAGCUGGAAUGGCACCAUGUGUAUGAGGAUGGAGGUUUUGGGCUGCCCAGUACCAGAUCCUUUAAGCCAGUACCAUAGUCAGAAUGAAGUGACGCAUCGAGAUGACUUGGACUACACCCAUCACAACUACCUCGACAUGGAGAAGCUCAUGAAAUCCAUCUCUGAUGAGUGUCCCAACAUCACCAGAUUGUACAGUUUGGGCAAGAGCUUUAAAGGUCUGGAAAUUUAUGCCAUGGAGAUUACUGAUAAUCCUGGGAUGCAUGAAACAGGAGAGCCAGAGUUCAGGUACACAGCAGGUUAUCAUGGUAAUGAGGCUUUGGGACGAGAGCUUCUUCUGAUGCUUAUGCAGUACCUGUGUAGAGAGUACAAAGAUGGCAACCCUCGAGUCCGCCACCUUGUGGAUGAGACACGAAUUCAUCUGGUGCCAUCAGUUAAUCCUGAUGGUCAUAUGAAAGCUUUUGAAAAGGGCUCUGAGUUGGGCAGCUGGACAUUAGGGCACUGGACUGAAGAUGGCCAUGACAUAUUCCAGAAUUUUCCAGACUUAAAUAACAUUCUUUGGGAUGCAGAAGAUAAGGGCAUGGUGCCCAAAUUAAUAUCAAAUCACCAUGUACCCAUCCCUGAGGGUAUUCUGUCAAGCAAUGGCUCAGUUGCAGUGGAGACUCUUGCCCUUAUCUCCUGGAUGGAGAGCCAUCCAUUUGUGCUUGGUGCCAACCUGCAGGGUGGCGAGAGACUGGUGACAUACCCCUUUGACAUGCGCCGGCUCACCAAGGAGUCUGAGGAGAUGGAGAAAAAACUAAACUCUAGAGCAAACAGACGUAAGCGACAGUAUGAGGAAGAGGAAGAAGAAGAACCCAACCCUUACCUUCACACUGGAUACCAUCAGGAGAGCUACAGUGGCCCUCAUGAAAACCAUGCAUAUCAUCAAGAGAACUAUGGGUACCAUCAAGAAAGUUAUGGGUAUCACCAUCAAAACCAAGGAUAUCAUGAGGAGAGCCAAGGAUAUCAUGAGGAGAGCCAAGGAUAUCAUGACGAGAGCCAAGGAUAUCAUGACGAGAGCCAAGGGUACCAUGAUGAGAACCAAAGGUACCAUCAUGAGGGUCACUCUGAAGGAUACCAUGAGGGUUAUCAUCAAGAAGGAUACUCAGAGGGGUACAGGGAGGGAUAUGGAGAAGGUGAACCAGAAGAGGAGAUCAGAGUGAUUGAGGACCAAUCUAUGUUCCGCUGGUUGGCCAUAUCUUAUGCCUCUACUCACCGCACUAUGACUCAAACCUAUCAGGGAGGAUGCCAUACUGAUGACCCAACAGGUGGGAUGGGAAUUGUCAACUGUGCCAAGUGGAAGCCCAUUCCAGGAAGUAUGAAUGACUUCAGCUACCUUCACACUAACUGUUUUGAGCUGUCCAUUUUCCUGGGCUGUGAUAAGUUCCCUCAUCAGAGUGAACUUUUAAGAGAGUGGGAGCAUAACAAAGAGGCCCUGCUGACCUUCAUGGCUCAGGUGCAUCGGGGCAUUAAGGGAGUUGUGAGGGAUAAGGAGGGCAACCCUAUUUCCAAUGCCACCUUGUCUGUGGAGGGAGUCAACCAUGACAUUAGGACAGGUGAAUCUGGAGAUUACUGGCGACUUCUAAAUCCCGGUGAGUACCGUGUAACAGCCCGAGCAGAAGGCUACUCCCCCUUCACCCGUCUAUGUGUGGUAGGGUUCGACCCAGGCGCUACCUUGUGCAACUUUGACCUCAACAAAUCUAACUGGGACCGCAUCAAACAGAUCAUGGCUCUACAUGGCAAUAGACCCAUCCGAUUGCUGAGCAGUGGCAACAGGGGUAGUGGACAACGCUAUACAUACAGCACUAACCAAAUCCCAAAUUCUAAAUUCAGUAACCAAAUUCUUAACGGUAAUGGUGGGGACAAUAGAAGGGCUCGUCUUCGUCGAUUACGGCUAAUGAGAAUCCGCCGCCUAAGGCAACAGAGGCUUCUAGCCAGCAAAACAACAACACCACCUACCACAACCAUGAUGACCACAACUACAGUUCCACUUACCAUAGAGAGUACAACUCCCUGGUAUGACUCUUGGCCACUUGGGGAAAUUUUUGAAGAGAACACAACCCCACCAGAAGAGAUUAAGUUGACCGAUGCACUGGACUACAACUACAAUUACAAGAUAGAUGAUUAUUAAGAGCAAACUACAGAUCAAAGUUUUGCUCCAGAGAUUGAUUGUUUUGGACUAGUAUAGGUCAUUGUUGCCAUGCUUUUGCGCCUUGGUUUGAUUGGAUCUGGAAGAGAUAUGAGCAAAGAGGAGUCACAUGUAGAAUCAAAGAAUUCUGGCAACACUAAAUAAGCUUUGCACAGUUUUGAAGUAAUUACAGAAGAUUUUUAUUCCAGAAUAUAAAUUUUCAAAUUUACCUUGAUUAUUAACACUUCUUUUUCUGGUUGCAAAGCUGGUUGGAGGCAUCACUUAAUGGUUUGCAAAGACUUAGAAGUAGUAAGAAUAAUCAUGCUGUGUAUUCAUGGCUAAACAUCUGUACUAUACUACCAAAAUGUAACAUAAAAACUUCUCAUAUGACCAUCAUGCCCACUGAGGGGAAAUGAGAAUGUUUUAAUGCAAGAGAAGUGGUUGUAUUACCAUUUCUACCUUUCUCUCACAUAAACAGUCAGUGUUUGUUGAAGGCAAGUGUACAAGGGAGAUUUUCCCUCAAAGUUCCACCAUGUUUAAUGGUCUGUUCUAAAAGAUGGUUUCUUUCCAGUAAAUAAAGUCUUUUCAUAUUCA
This is an RNA transcript of Sinocyclocheilus grahami, 4611 nucleotides long. It is a transcript of the gene named AE binding protein 1b, with no coding region annotated. The transcript is spliced from 23 exons. The record is from RefSeq and is a predicted model, not a curated record. NCBI's taxonomy places the organism in Eukaryota, Metazoa, Chordata, Actinopteri, Cypriniformes, Cyprinidae.